GACGAACGCUGGCGGCGUGCCUAAUACAUGCAAGUCGAGCGGACUUUCAAGAAGCUUGCUUUUUGAAAGUUAGCGGCGGACGGGUGAGUAACACGUGGGCAACCUGCCUGCAAGACGGGGAUAACUCCGGGAAACCGGGGCUAAUACCGGAUAAUAUCUUCCUUCGCAUGAAGGAAGGUUGAAAGGCGGCGCACGCUGCCGCUUGCAGAUGGGCCCGCGGCGCAUUAGCUAGUUGGUGAGGUAACGGCUCACCAAGGCGACGAUGCGUAGCCGACCUGAGAGGGUGAUCGGCCACACUGGGACUGAGACACGGCCCAGACUCCUACGGGAGGCAGCAGUAGGGAAUCUUCCGCAAUGGACGAAAGUCUGACGGAGCAACGCCGCGGGAGCGAAGAAGGUCUUCGGAUCGUAAAGCUCUGUUGUCAGGGAAGAACAAGUACCGUUCGAACAGGGCGGUACCUUGACGGUACCUGACCAGAAAGCCACGGCUAACUACGUG
This 499-nucleotide ribosomal RNA is filed under the name uncultured bacterium. Its description in RNAcentral is "partial 16S ribosomal RNA". It matches the Rfam family "Bacterial small subunit ribosomal RNA", at positions 28 to 507 of the family's 1533-position model. The record is from RNAcentral.